This is a long non-coding RNA of Lolium rigidum, 1084 nucleotides long. RefSeq lists it as uncharacterized. Lineage: Eukaryota; Viridiplantae; Streptophyta; Magnoliopsida; Poales; Poaceae. The transcript has 4 exons. The record is from RefSeq and is a predicted model, not a curated record.
GUUGCUUACAAGUGAGGUGCAUAAGCAAGUUACUGCCUACGUGAGAAACGAACCUGCUCACAGUAAUAAUAAUUGCAUAAAGGUAAAAUGAACUAGACAGGGUUAACUGAACAAACUACCGGCAAGAUUCUGAUAAAUCAUUUACAAACCUGCAACCAACAGACUUUUGGCUGCUACGUUCCUAGCAUUUGAUGUUCCAGGACAAUAAUGCUGUUUAUCUUACGUUCCAGGUCUUCUUCCUCAACCUGGUGCCGGUGCACUCGCACAUAUACAACACCCGCAGAUCUGCUUAGGUAAAGCUGUUGCCGGCGCCCCUCCUGUUGCUGCGAGAUGAUCUAGUUACGCCUCCCUCCACGUUGGUGCAUUUGACGAUUCACUCCAAGAUACAUGGGGAUGUUCUUUGCCUAGCCUAAUCGAAUAUAUGGCUGCCUCCUUCGACUUGAACGACUCCUACAUCACCGCGCGCGUCCCCCAUCGGCGAGCCACAGAAGGUCAUCUUCCUCAACCUGGCGCCGGUGCACCCGCAGAUCUGCUUAGGUAAAGGUGUUGCCGGCGCCCCUCCUGUCGCAGCAAGAUGAUUUAUUUAUGCCUCCCUCCACGUUGGUGCAUUUGAUGAUUCACUGCAUGAUACAUGCAAAUGUACAGCUGCCUCCUUCAACUGGUACGACUCCUACAUCACCGUGUCUCCCAUCUGUGAGCCACAGAAGCUCAGCGAGGAUUCUUUGCUGAAAGGAAGAGUUACCCAUCCAUGGUGAUGAGGCAUAAGAGUUGUUGCCUCUGCAUUUCUUUUGCCCGCUGCCUUAUAACUAGAUCAGGAUAUUGAAAAGGAGGAGUAGAUGCAUGGCAGCCAAUUAAGGUAUCAGCUGUUAUGUAUUAGUUGGCCAUAUAAAAAUUUGCAGAUUCUUGUGGUGGUAGCGGGGUGAGGAGGCGCCUCCUUUCGGAGGUGUGCAACAUCAAAUUUUGAUUCCUCUAUCUGUUUAUCUUGUUUGUUUGGUGGCUGCAAGGGAAGAUAAAUUGGAUGGUUAUGUUGCUGCCUAGGAAUAGGAUGGAUGAAUCCUCCUUGUAGUGUUUUGAGUGGUAAUCC